RNAcentral lists this ribosomal RNA (250 nucleotides) under uncultured bacterium. RNAcentral describes it as "partial 16S ribosomal RNA". It matches the Rfam family "Bacterial small subunit ribosomal RNA", at positions 57 to 305 of the family's 1533-position model. The record is from RNAcentral.
GCAAGUCGAGCGGAAACGAUCCUAGCUUGCUAGGAGGCGUCGAGCGGCGGACGGGUGAGUAACACGUGAGAAUCUGCCCAUUAGUGGGGGAUAACCUGGGGAAACCCAGGCUAAUACCGCAUAAUCUCUACGGAGGAAAGCAGGGGAUCUUCGGACCUUGUGCUGAUGGAUGAGCUCGCGUCGGAUUAGCUUGUUGGUGAGGUAAUGGCUCACCAAGGCGACGAUCCCUAGCUGGUUUGAGAGGAUGAUC